GAUUUCCAGCUGCAAUUGGCUUCGUUUCGUGUCGCUCGUUGUGACCCGUGAGACAACUUUGUUACAUCGCUAGGGUUUCGCCAUAUCCGCCAAUUUCCCACCUCCAUUCUCGUCUUCUUCUUCUUCUUCUUCUUCUUCUCCUCCUCCACGCAUUUUUUUUUGGUGUGUAUAGAACAGAUAUCGCAAUGUCGUGGGAGGCCAUGCUGCCCAUGGGCAUCAUCUCCGCCAUGAUUUUUGUCAUGGGGACGUCUCAGUACGUGGUUCACACGUCCAUCUACGGCAAGCCAAAGCAUCCCAGACAUGAUGCAUGGGACCGGGCGAUGGACGAAAGAGAUGCUCGAUUGAAAGAGGAGUACGAAAAAUCUCAGAAGUAGCCACUUUUUCAGCUUGUGUGAGAGGCAUUCGGCGAGUUACGAUGCAAAGCUUAUUGCACAUUGUAUGCUUCAGCAGCUUGACGAGCUUCUGCAUUGUGUUGCAUUGGGAACUUUGCAUGCAUGCUGAGUAGUUACUUUUGACACGAUACAUCCUUGCCUCAAGGUUUUCAUCACGUUUUCCUGUCUGGUGCUCGAAGGAGUUCAAUGGGUUGAAAGAAAUAAUGUAUUGAUAUUGUUAGGCUUC
Molecule: non-coding RNA, 618 nt
Organism: Physcomitrium patens
Lineage: Eukaryota; Viridiplantae; Streptophyta; Bryopsida; Funariales; Funariaceae
Source: RefSeq, a predicted model, not a curated record